AAAAACUAUAGCAGCAGGUGUGUUGCACAGAAAGCAUGCAAUUUACUUUAAAGUAAGCAGAACUGUUGCAUCCAUCGGAAAGUAAUGUGACUCACAUGGGCCGACCGCCUUGGCAGAAAAAGGAAGAAAAAGGGGGAGGAAGAAAAGGGGUUCCCUGCUCUGGGACAUCACUCAUCUUACCUCCAGCUGAAGUAUGGAAAGACGCGUAUGAUGAGCGGCUUCCUUCUAAGUGCAGCUCAGGGGCUUGUUAAGGCGGCGGUAUGGUGAAGACCACACGUCCAACGUUUUGCUUCCAGACUCAGUCAGGGUUUCUAACACUUAAUGACAUCAACAGCCAACGAAAACCAUCUGAGGCUCUGCUCAUUGUUGUUGCAUGCUCCUCAUGAAGCUUGACAGGAAGAUGCUUCUUCUGGAAAAUGAACAUGAGAUGGACCUGUUCGUUCCUGCGUUCUUCUUCGCCCUCCAAGGCAUCAUCAAAGAUGUGCAACUCUGAUGAGCAACAACUCAGCUCACCAUGUGUCCUCCUGCUAAUCACACUCCCAGAGAAGAAAAGGAGGGAGGAGGAGGUGGGGAGGAAGCAGGAGCAGAGGAAGAAGGAAUAAAAGACAAGAAUAUAUAGGAUGAGUAGUCAGCCUGUCUCCAGCCUGGACACACACACAUGCACAUGUAGAUGGCGUUAAUACCUGCGCCGGCAAUGAGCUUCAUUCGGAUGACCAUAUGACAAGAUGGCGACUGUGUGAUUUGGAUAGUGUGUGACAGAAGACAGAGGCAGAGUGCAGAACAGACACCCGGUUUGAUGAGGGAGUGUUUGCUCUGUAACACAUCUCAAACCCAACAGCACCUGUUCUUUUACAGUGGUCUGUCACUUCCUGGCAGUUCUGAUACCAAGAUACCGUGCUAAUGAGAGAGAAGGGGGGUUGUCACUCUUAAGCACACACACACACACACACACACACACACACACACACACACCCCCCCACACACACACACACAGAGACAUGCGCACUCUUUUUGUCUCUCGUUUUCACAAAUACUAGAGCUGUAAAAAUAAGGAGCUGCGUACAGAUGAUUUUCUUCCUACAGAUGCCUGUAGGCUACAGUAUUUCAUCAGAAAUAGGGAGAAUUUUGUAGUUCUCUAUUUUAUGUAUGUAUAUGUCACAUUUUUUUUAAUAUAGGGGUGAUUGAAAGAUUGAAAAGAAACUGAACAUAAAUGUUAAUUAAAGGGUUUUUUAAGUCAGGUUGUGUUCAAAUAUUAUAGCCCCUUAAUUUCUUAUGGUGGUGGAUAACCUCCUCUGUGUCAGAGACAGAGCAGCUAGGCCUCAUCGGACUAUACUGUCUAAAGACAAGUUUUGUUUUAAAAAAUGUCAAAUGAACUUACUAACAUGUCUAUAUUAGUAAAAAUCUGUAA
This is a long non-coding RNA of Cyprinodon tularosa, 1408 nucleotides long. RefSeq lists it as uncharacterized. NCBI's taxonomy places the organism in Eukaryota, Metazoa, Chordata, Actinopteri, Cyprinodontiformes, Cyprinodontidae. The transcript has 4 exons. The record is from RefSeq and is a predicted model, not a curated record.